CGCUAUCACUCCUACGGGAGGCAGCAGUGGGGAAUCUUGCGCAAUGGGCGAAAGCCUGACGCAGCCAUGCCGCGUGAAUGAUGAAGGUCUUAGGAUUGUAAAAUUCUUUCACCGGGGACGAUAAUGACGGUACCCGGAGAAGAAGCCCCGGCUAACUUCGUGCCAGCAGCCGCGGUAAUACGAAGGGGGCUAGCGUUGCUCGGAAUUACUGGGCGUAAAGGGAGCGUAGGCGGACAUUUAAGUCAGGGGUGAAAUCCCCGGGGCUCAACCUCGGAAUUGCCUUUGAUACUGGUGUCUUGAGUAUGAGAGAGGUGUGUGGAACUCCGAGUGUAGAGGUGAAAUUCGUAGAUAUUCGGAAGAACACCAGUGGCGAAGGCGACACACUGGCUCAUUACUGACGCUGAGACUCGAAAGCAUGGGUAGCGAACAGGAUUAGAUACCCUGGUAG
This 448-nucleotide ribosomal RNA is filed under the name uncultured bacterium. Its description in RNAcentral is "bacterial SSU rRNA". It matches the Rfam family "Bacterial small subunit ribosomal RNA", at positions 328 to 793 of the family's 1533-position model. The record is from RNAcentral.